RNAcentral lists this small nuclear RNA (102 nucleotides) under Apaloderma vittatum (bar-tailed trogon). The record is from RNAcentral. Lineage: Eukaryota; Metazoa; Chordata; Aves; Trogoniformes; Trogonidae.
GUGCUUGCUUUGGCAGCACGUAUACUAAAAUUGGAACAAUACAGAGAUUAGCAUGGCCCCUAUGCAAGGAUGACACAAAUUUGGGAAGUAUUUUGUAUUUUA